UUUUUUUUUUGGCUAAAUUAUAAAAAAAAUUUGUGUUAAAAUCUAAUUUUUUACUUUUCUGUUAUUUAAAAAUCUAUACUUUAUUCCUUUAUAAAAUAAAAAGUAUUCACAGAAAAUACGAUAUGAAUUGUAAUGAUAAAAUAACUAUUUUGCCCCUCAUCAUAAAAUGAACAUUUUUUAUUUUACAAUAGGGCAAAAUAUAGGUUUUUAAAUGAUAUGAAAAAAAGAAAAAAAUCGGAUUUUAACCGGAUGUUUUUAUAUAAUUUAGCCUUUUUUUCCAUUAAUAAUAGGGAAAAUGUG
Molecule: long non-coding RNA, 300 nt
Filed under: Ananas comosus (pineapple)
Lineage: Eukaryota; Viridiplantae; Streptophyta; Magnoliopsida; Poales; Bromeliaceae
Description: long non-coding RNA (ACOM_LNC018952)
Source: RNAcentral